This 255-nucleotide RNase P RNA is filed under the name Tritrichomonas foetus. RNAcentral's name for it is "Nuclear RNase P". It matches the Rfam family "Nuclear RNase P". From Rfam's summary of the family: Ribonuclease P (RNase P) is a ubiquitous endoribonuclease, found in archaea, bacteria and eukarya as well as chloroplasts and mitochondria. The record is from Rfam by way of RNAcentral. Lineage: Eukaryota; Parabasalia; Tritrichomonadida; Tritrichomonadidae.
GGAAAAUGGAGGAUGUAUUACAGCAUACAUACUGACCAGCUCGUCUGGUCUCAAUGCUGUGGGAAAGUCUGAGAGUGCUAAUUGCUUUCUUGGCGGAGCAUGCGGUGAACGCAUGGCUGGGAACCAGAAACGAACCGAUGGAAGAGCUUUCGCGAUGACCCCUUUGGAUGAAACGGCCCAGCUCACUGCGAUUUUGAGUCAAAUGUACAUCGCCGGAUUCGUCCGGAAACUCAAUUCAGAUUACUCCUGUUUUCC